GCCGCGGGAGGCCGAUUGCAAGUGUCGACGAGCAAUCGGAAUGCACUAACAGGUUCACACGUGAGCGGCGCGGCGGCGCGAGGCGAGGGCGUAGCUCCGUAGAUAGCGCCCUACCACCGUGACCGGAGAUAGCGAUACCCAAGUCAGCCAAGCUAGGGGUUGUAGAAAAGGAAAGCAAAAGGAUCAAACUUGUAAUAAUCUUGUGAUGAUUGAUUGUAUUCGGAAGUUCAAAUGUAUUUGAAAGGAAAAGAAAUGUAAAUAA
Molecule: long non-coding RNA, 262 nt
Organism: Ananas comosus (pineapple)
Lineage: Eukaryota; Viridiplantae; Streptophyta; Magnoliopsida; Poales; Bromeliaceae
Exons: 2
Source: RefSeq, a predicted model, not a curated record